UAUCUCUGUAGAGUCUGCAUAUCAAUAAGCGGAGGAAAAGAAACUAACAAGGAUUCCCCUAGUAACGGCGAGUGAAGCGGGAAGAGCUCAAAUUUGAAAUCUUCAAGGUUUGACCUUGACGAAUUGUAGUUUAAAGAAGUGUUUUCGGUUAGAGGAGUAGUAAAAGUUCUUUGGAAUAGGACAUCAUAGAGGGUGAGAAUCCCGUAUUUGACUAUUCUUUCUAGCUUUGUGAUACACUUUCAAAGAGUCGGAUUGUUUGGGAAUGCAGUCCAAAAUGGGUGGUAAAUUUCAUCUAAAGCUAAAUAUUGGCGAGAGACCGAUAGCGAACAAGUACCGUGAGGGAAAGAUGAAAAGAACUUUGAAAAGAGAGUUAAACAGUACGUGAAAUUGUCAAAAGGGAAGCGUUUGACACCAGUGUUGUUUUUCCGAAAAUCAAUUAAAAAUAGAUUCAUGUCAGGUUAGUAUUGACCUUAUCAGCUUGCAUGCUUAGUUUUGGGUCAUCUUUUUGAUGCACUUUUCGGUUAACAAGUCAACAUCAAUUUCCUUUGCUGUAAAAAGGUAAGAGGAAGGUGGCUUCAAUUUCGGUUGAAGUGUUUAUAGCCUUUUAUCUCUGCAGUCGGGGAGAUUGAGGUCUGCAGCGUAGAUCCUUCGGGGCUAGAUACAUUUAUGCUAAGUUAUAGCUUUUCAUAGACAACUUGUUGACUAUGUUUAGUCAUGUAGCUUACUCGUAAGUGCUAUUUUACCUACGCUUAGGAUGUUGAGCGCAUGUCUCUCUCU
RNAcentral lists this ribosomal RNA (777 nucleotides) under uncultured Neocallimastigales. Its description in RNAcentral is "partial large subunit ribosomal RNA". It matches the Rfam family "Eukaryotic large subunit ribosomal RNA", at positions 24 to 642 of the family's 3401-position model. Lineage: Eukaryota; Fungi; Neocallimastigomycota; Neocallimastigomycetes; Neocallimastigales. The record is from RNAcentral.